This 92-nucleotide transfer RNA is filed under the name Streptomyces hygroscopicus. RNAcentral describes it as "tRNA-Cys". The record is from RNAcentral. Lineage: Bacteria; Bacillati; Actinomycetota; Actinomycetes; Kitasatosporales; Streptomycetaceae.
GUCGUCGACGGUGGGGUUGACGCCGGCCCCCGCAAUGGGCUGGUGGCUGUCAUUGGGCUUGAUGACGUCGCGAUCCCCCCGCGACGGCACCU